This is a non-coding RNA of Acanthosepion pharaonis, 114 nucleotides long. The record is from the annotation of a GenBank genome assembly. NCBI's taxonomy places the organism in Eukaryota, Metazoa, Mollusca, Cephalopoda, Sepiida, Sepiidae.
CUACGGCCAUAUCUCAUUGAAACACCGUUUCUUGUACGAUCACCGCAGUUAAGCAAACGUCGAGCCUGGUCAGUAACUAGAUGGGUGACCACUUAGGUAUACUAGGUACUGGAA